This 458-nucleotide ribosomal RNA is filed under the name uncultured Thiobacillus sp. RNAcentral describes it as "bacterial SSU rRNA". It matches the Rfam family "Bacterial small subunit ribosomal RNA", at positions 919 to 1382 of the family's 1533-position model. The record is from RNAcentral. Lineage: Bacteria; Pseudomonadati; Pseudomonadota; Betaproteobacteria; Nitrosomonadales; Thiobacillaceae.
ACCCGCACAAGCGGUGGAUGAUGUGGAUUAAUUCGAUGCAACGCGAAGAACCUUACCUACCCUUGACAUGUCCGGAACUUGCCAGAGAUGGCUUGGUGCCCGAAAGGGAAUCGGAACACAGGUGCUGCAUGGCUGUCGUCAGCUCGUGUCGUGAGAUGUUGGGUUAAGUCCCGCAACGAGCGCAACCCUUAUCAUUAGUUGCUACGCAAGGGCACUCUAAUGAGACUGCCGGUGACAAACCGGAGGAAGGUGGGAUGACGUCAAGUCCUCAUGGCCCUUAUGGGUAGGGCUUCACACGUCAUACAAUGGUCGGUACAGAGGGUUGCCAAGCCGCGAGGCGGAGCCAAUCCCACAAAGCCGAUCGUAGUCCGGAUUGUUCUCUGCAACUCGAGAGCAUGAAGUCGGAAUCGCUAGUAAUCGCAGGUCAGCAUACUGCGGUGAAUACGUUCCCGAGUCUU